GAAAGUUCAAAAGAAGAAGAGAAAGAAGAGGAAAAGGAAGGGGAGCAAGAGGAGGAGGAGGAAGAAGAGGCAGAGCACGAGGGUAAUGCACAUAGAAGCAAGAACAAAAGCUCGUCUAAUGUGGAUAAAGAUAUCAAGAGAAGGGGAGGUGGGUUUAGUAAGUUAUGUAGUCUUUCCCCACAGCUUCAGGAAUUUAUUGGAGAAUCUGAGCUGGCCAGAACUGAGGUUGUCAAGAAUUGUGGGC
Molecule: long non-coding RNA, 244 nt
Organism: Hibiscus syriacus
Lineage: Eukaryota; Viridiplantae; Streptophyta; Magnoliopsida; Malvales; Malvaceae
Exons: 3
Source: RefSeq, a predicted model, not a curated record